RNAcentral lists this ribosomal RNA (469 nucleotides) under uncultured bacterium. RNAcentral's name for it is "partial 16S ribosomal RNA". It matches the Rfam family "Bacterial small subunit ribosomal RNA", at positions 28 to 507 of the family's 1533-position model. The record is from RNAcentral.
GACGAACGCUGGCGGCGUGCUUAACACAUGCAAGUCGAACGGAAAGGCCCUGCUUGCAGGGUGCUCGAGUGGCGAACGGGUGAGUCACACGUGGGUGAUCUGCCCCUUACUUUGGGAUAAGCCUGGGAAACUGGGUCUAAUACUGGAUAGGACCAUGCUGUAGGUGGUGUGGUGGAACGAUUAGUUUCGGUAAGGGAUGAGCUCGCGGCCUCUCAGCUUGUUGGUGGGGUAUUGGCUUACCAGGGUGUCGACGGGUAGCCGGCCUGAGAGGGUGGGCGGCCACAUUGGCACUGUGGGACGGCGAAAACGCCUACGCGCGGCAGGGGUGGAGAAGAGGGGACAAUUGGCGCAAGCGUGAUGGAGUGACGCAGCGUGGGGGAGGGCGGCCUGAGGGUUGUAGACUUCUUAAAGCCAUUACGAAGCCAUGGUAGUGACAGUAGUGGGAGAAGAAGCUCCGGCUAACUACGUG